UACGAAGGGGGCUAGCGUUGCUCGGAAUCACUGGGCGUAAAGCGCACGUAGGCGGCUUUCUAAGUCAGGGGUGAAAUCCUGGAGCUCAACUCCAGAACUGCCUUUGAUACUGGAAAGCUUGAGUUCGGGAGAGGUGAGUGGAACUGCGAGUGUAGAGGUGAAAUUCGUAGAUAUUGGGAAGAACACCAGUGGCGAAGGCGGCUCACUGGCUCGUAUCUGACGCUCAGGCGCGACAGCGUGGGGAUCAAACAGG
This 253-nucleotide ribosomal RNA is filed under the name uncultured bacterium. RNAcentral describes it as "partial 16S ribosomal RNA". It matches the Rfam family "Bacterial small subunit ribosomal RNA", at positions 524 to 776 of the family's 1533-position model. The record is from RNAcentral.